Molecule: long non-coding RNA, 161 nt
Organism: Chinchilla lanigera (long-tailed chinchilla)
Lineage: Eukaryota; Metazoa; Chordata; Mammalia; Rodentia; Chinchillidae
Exons: 2
Source: RefSeq, a predicted model, not a curated record
CAGGGAGGGUCACGAGGAGGAGCUGCGCUGCCCAAGUCCCCCAGAACCCCAGGUCUGUUUCCCUCUUGGUAAUGGAUGGAGAAACUUCUCAUAGUCUACGAGGGAUUGGUCGUAAAAACUUCGCCUGGAAGAUUAAUGUAAUAAUCACAGGCCUUUCCGGG